GGCUCCCGAUAACCUAGACCAGGGGAAAAAAAAGGCUUUUAUAAGCAUUGGGGUUUUAUUACAAGCGGGAUUCAGAUAGAUGGUGGGAACACGGGUAGUUUCCAGCAAGGCACGACGCGGCUGGCACGGAGCGCGGCGCUCAAGGCUCUUGCGCUGGCCAGUUUCUGUUUUACCUAAUUCCUUCUCCAUGACCCACGCAGCAGCCCCGGCUUUCUGUGAGUCACCUCAGGGCCUGGUUUGUUGCUCAGCCCAACCCUGCAGCUUUUGAACCGGGUUAUCCCCAGCGUAUAAGGUUAGUCAUGCAGCUCUCCUCGCCGUCCCUCGCCACCGGCCAGGCACAGCGGGAGAGGGCAAGGCUGCGGCCACUCUCCCCAUCCACCCUCAGCAGUAGCUUUGCUCUCAGUCAAGGCUGGAGGGAUCCUCCGAGCACCACGAUGCCAGUGGGAAAUGAGCCGAGAGGGGGGGGCGAAUGCCUUAACGCAAUCAUUUAGCGGGAGCGAGGAAGCCCCCAAGAGCUGGUCUCUGCCCAGAAAUCCAAGCGGCUUCUCUUCUGAUGCCCUUGAUUUUUUUGAAGGAGACGUGACAUUUUGAAGCUUUUGUUUUUACAAGCGUUUCCGAAACCCUUGCUUGAUCCAGGGUGCUGCUUGCGUGGGAAACCCUGUGAACCAAGUCUCAGCCCCGAGGAAAUUACAGCUGCUCCUUCUCCUGCAGAAGGAUCGGGGAGGCAUUUCCAGCCGGAUAGGGGUCAGGGGAACAAAGGGCAAAAGCUGGCUGAGAGAUAAGGAGAAAUCUGGAGAGGAUUGGGGCCGCGGAACGUGCCUUGGACCAUAUCUUUGGCCAGCUCUUUGGCUCAGGACUCGAUCGUCCUUUGACAUUGCUGGAAUGUGUUUUACCGUCCAAGAGCGAGCAGCCGUGGGCUGGACACAUCUUCCUUGGAAAGAUGGGCACCGAAGGAAACCGGAGAGGGAGAGCGUAAACACGGCUCCUAAGGGAAUGCUGGGCGCAGAUCCAAGCUGGGGUCUUUGGGAUCAAAUAUCCCGUAGCUGGCAAGGCUGGAAGGAGAGCUCUCCUCAUUUUGCCAAAUUAGAACAAAUCCGCAAUCCUUCGUUAAUCCGGCACCUUUUUUCCUAGUGUGCCACAAGAAACAAUGGGGCGAGCUUGCCGGGACCAGAGGCGGCAGGAAAAGGUGUGAAUUGACUCCGGGGGAAGGAGAGGAUGGCAGAGAAAGAAAAGCACGGUGCGUGCCAGAAACACACAGACAAACAAGCUCCAAAGGACAACGGAGACAACUCCUAACAAAAACACAUCUCUUUUCCUCAUUCGGGGUGGGGACGCCUUGGGAGCCCCCGUUUUCCGUUCCUGCUUUGUUGGGUGGCUCCAGAAAUAUUGUUUUCCCAUUUCCUCCACUCCCCAUGUUUUCCUGAACGGUAAAAGCAUUAACAGCUUUUAAAACCAAGGGCAAAAUAGCCCCCGCCUGUCAGGGGGGGAAUGUAUGCUCAGCAAAAAUGACCUAGGAAGGAAAAUUCGAGGGUUUCUCCGAGUCGAAAGCCUCCUGCUACGGGGACAACACAACAGUCCCCGCUCCCCAAAUCCGGGCUGGAAAAGAGGGACGAGGGCCCUGCCCCGGGCACAGUUUAUAGGAAGGAUGUGGUUGUUUGUCCUCCCUUAGAUCAAGAUAGUCUUGCUGACGAAAAAAAGUUGCCUGUUUUCUGCGGCGAAGAGCAAGAACCAUCUAGACAUUGCGAUCUUAAAAAUAAACAUUUGCCUCAGAUUUUCUCACCGGC
Molecule: long non-coding RNA, 1784 nt
Organism: Aptenodytes forsteri (emperor penguin)
Lineage: Eukaryota; Metazoa; Chordata; Aves; Sphenisciformes; Spheniscidae
Exons: 2
Source: RefSeq, a predicted model, not a curated record